This 1372-nucleotide ribosomal RNA is filed under the name uncultured bacterium. Its description in RNAcentral is "bacterial SSU rRNA". It matches the Rfam family "Bacterial small subunit ribosomal RNA", at positions 28 to 1381 of the family's 1533-position model. The record is from RNAcentral.
GAUGAACGCUGGCGGCGUGCCUAAUACAUGCAAGUCGAGCGAACGGACGAGAAGCUUGCUUCUCUGAUGUUAGCGGCGGACGGGUGAGUAACACGUGGAUAACCUACCUAUAAGACUGGGAUAACUUCGGGAAACCGGAGCUAAUACCGGAUAAUAUUUUGAACCGCAUGGUUCAAAAGUGAAAGACGGUCUUGCUGUCACUUAUAGAUGGAUCCGCGCUGCAUUAGCUAGUUGGUAAGGUAACGGCUUACCAAGGCAACGAUGCAUAGCCGACCUGAGAGGGUGAUCGGCCACACUGGAACUGAGACACGGUCCAGACUCCUACGGGAGGCAGCAGUAGGGAAUCUUCCGCAAUGGGCGAAAGCCUGACGGAGCAACGCCGCGUGAGUGAUGAAGGUCUUCGGAUCGUAAAACUCUGUUAUUAGGGAAGAACAUAUGUGUAAGUAACUGUGCACAUCUUGACGGUACCUAAUCAGAAAGCCACGGCUAACUACGUGCCAGCAGCCGCGGUAAUACGUAGGUGGCAAGCGUUAUCCGGAAUUAUUGGGCGUAAAGCGCGCGUAGGCGGUUUUUUAAGUCUGAUGUGAAAGCCCGCGGCUCAACCGUGGAGGGUCAUUGGAAACUGGAAAACUUGAGUGCAGAAGAGGAAAGUGGAAUUCCAUGUGUAGCGGUGAAAUGCGCAGAGAUAUGGAGGAACACCAGUGGCGAAGGCGACUUUCUGGUCUGUAACUGACGCUGAUGUGCGAAAGCGUGGGGAUCAAACAGGAUUAGAUACCCUGGUAGUCCACGCCGUAAACGAUGAGUGCUAAGUGUUAGGGGGUUUCCGCCCCUUAGUGCUGCAGCUAACGCAUUAAGCACUCCGCCUGGGGAGUACGACCGCAAGGUUGAAACUCAAAGGAAUUGACGGGGACCCGCACAAGCGGUGGAGCAUGUGGUUUAAUUCGAAGCAACGCGAAGAACCUUACCAAAUCUUGACAUCCUUUGACAACUCUAGAGAUAGAGCCUUCCCCUUCGGGGGACAAAGUGACAGGUGGUGCAUGGUUGUCGUCAGCUCGUGUCGUGAGAUGUUGGGUUAAGUCCCGCAACGAGCGCAACCCUUAAGCUUAGUUGCCAUCAUUAAGUUGGGCACUCUAAGUUGACUGCCGGUGACAAACCGGAGGAAGGUGGGGAUGACGUCAAAUCAUCAUGCCCCUUAUGAUUUGGGCUACACACGUGCUACAAUGGACAAUACAAAGGGCAGCGAAACCGCGAGGUCAAGCAAAUCCCAUAAAGUUGUUCUCAGUUCGGAUUGUAGUCUGCAGCUCGACUACAUGAAGCUGGAAUCGCUAGUAAUCGUAGAUCAGCAUGCUACGGUGAAUACGUUCCCGGGUCU